UACGUAGGGGGCAAGCGUUGUUCGGAAUUACUGGGCGUAAAGGGCGCGUAGGCGGCACGGCAAGUCGGGAGUGAAAGGCCUGGGCUCAACCGAGGAACUGCUUUCGAGACUGCCGAGCUAGAGUGCGGAAGGGGCAACCGGAAUUCCCAGUGUAGCGGUGAAAUGCGUAGAUAUUGGGAAGAACACCUGAGGCGAAGGCGGGUUGCUGGGCCGACACUAACGCUGAGGCGCGAAAGCCAGGGGAGCAAACGGG
Molecule: ribosomal RNA, 253 nt
Filed under: uncultured bacterium
Lineage: Bacteria
Description: partial 16S ribosomal RNA
Rfam family: Bacterial small subunit ribosomal RNA
Source: RNAcentral